UAAGAGAAAUGUUUUAUGCAAUAAACCAAAUGAAAAUGUUGAUUAAAGUUUUGCUUUUUCAGUUUCCUGGCUAAAUUGCACAAAAACUGGAGGGCAAUCGGAGGGGAGAGCACGUGUGUAUGGAGUGUGUGUUCUUAACAUAACACAUAAACACAAGUACAUACACAACUCUGGAGUACUUUUUAAAGGAAAACGAACUUAUUCUAACUUGCUCUUUAUUUUAAUAGCAUUUAAUGUAAAAAUAUAUCUGUCAAAAAUAUCUGCCUGCUUAUAUGGAACAACAUGUGCUUAAGACAAAAUA
Drosophila melanogaster (fruit fly) is the source of this 301-nucleotide non-coding RNA. The record is from Ensembl. Lineage: Eukaryota; Metazoa; Arthropoda; Insecta; Diptera; Drosophilidae.